RNAcentral lists this ribosomal RNA (251 nucleotides) under uncultured bacterium. Its description in RNAcentral is "partial 16S ribosomal RNA". It matches the Rfam family "Bacterial small subunit ribosomal RNA", at positions 524 to 776 of the family's 1533-position model. The record is from RNAcentral.
UACGUAGGGGGCAAGCGUUGUCCGGAUUUAUUGGGCGUAAAGAGCGUGUAGGCGCCAGACAGGUCCGUUGUGAAAACUCGAGGCUCAACCUCGAGACGCCGAUGGAAACCGUCUGGCUAGAGUCCGGAAGAGGAGAGUGGAAUCCUGGUGUAGCGGUGAAAUGCGCAGAUAUCAGGAAGAACACCCGUGGCUAAGGCGGCUCUCUAGUACGGUACUGACGCUGAGACGCGAAAGCGUGGGGAGCGAACAGG